UUAACUGCACACUCUAAUUACAUGUUGCAAUUGAAUGCAUAUUUACUUGUGCCUUUUCAACUUUCCAGAAACCUUAAGCUGCUUGGGCUCAAAGGAAAAUGUCGAUCCAUCGUGUGCUAUUAAGAACAUCUCACAUACUUUGUUGAAUGAUUCAAGAUGACCACAAGUUCUUUGGAUCUGUCGUUGCUGGGAACAGCGAUCCUGCGAAGUGGCACUGGUUGCCUACCAGCUAGCCUCUGUCCGAGCAGGCCACUUCACCGUUACUUGAAGCUGCUGCCGGCUAAAAGAAGCUGAGCAAGCUCCGUGCGCAUAUGCCCACUGAUGUAACCUGGAGGUAAAUUAUCUCGCUGAUGUGUUAGAUUUACUUCUUUGCAUACUUCAGUGCUCCAAGAUACUGAAUGCUAAACCGCUCUGCUGUAAAUUUUGUAUUCUAGGUGAAAAGAUCU
Ornithodoros turicata is the source of this 446-nucleotide long non-coding RNA. RefSeq lists it as uncharacterized. NCBI's taxonomy places the organism in Eukaryota, Metazoa, Arthropoda, Arachnida, Ixodida, Argasidae. The record is from RefSeq and is a predicted model, not a curated record. The transcript is spliced from 3 exons.